This 721-nucleotide ribosomal RNA is filed under the name uncultured fungus. RNAcentral describes it as "eukaryotic LSU rRNA". The stretch from base 217 to 370 matches the Rfam family "5.8S ribosomal RNA". Lineage: Eukaryota; Fungi. The record is from RNAcentral.
UGCUGCUGGUUCUCUUGGGAGCAUGUGCACGCUUGUCAUCUUUAUAUCUCCACCUGUGCACCUUUUGUAGACCUGGAUAUCUCUCUGAGUGCUAGUCACUCGGGUUUGGGGAUUGACUUUACGUCUAUUCUUACAUUUCCAGGCCUAUGUUUCUUCAUAUACCCCAAUUGUAUGUUAUAGAAUGUAAUCAAUGGCCUUGUGCCUAUAAACCUAUACAACUUUCAGCAACGGAUCUCUUGGCUCUCGCAUCGAUGAAGAACGCAGCGAAAUGCGAUAAGUAAUGUGAAUUGCAGAAUUCAGUGAAUCAUCGAAUCUUUGAACGCACCUUGCGCUCCUUGGUAUUCCGAGGAGCAUGCCUGUUUGAGUGUCAUUAAUAUAUCAACCUCUUAAGCUUUUGCUUGUUGAGUGUUGGAUGUGGGGGGUCUUUUUUGCUGGUCUUUUGAGGUCAGCUCCCCUGAAAUGUAUUAGCGGAACAAUUGUGGACCGUUCAUUGGUGUGAUAACUAUCUACGCUAUUGACGUCAAGCAGUUCAGCUUCUAACAGUCCAUUGACUUGGACAAAUUUUCAUUAAUGUGACCUCAAAUCAGGUAGGACUACCCGCUGAACUUAAGCAUAUCAAUAAGCGGAGGAAAAGAAACUAACAAGGAUUCCCCUAGUAACUGCGAGUGAAGCGGGAAAAGCUCAAAUUUAAAAUCUGUCAGUCUUUGACUGUCCGAGUUGU